AAGUCGUAACAAGGUUUCCGUAGGUGAACCUGCGGAAGGAUCAUUAUUGUAUAACCGAGGUGCGAGGGCUGUCGCUGACCCGAAAGGUCGUGCACGCCCGAGUGCCCUCACACACAUCCAUCUCACCCCUAUGUGCACCACCGCGUGGGUCCCCCUUUGGCUUGUUCGGAGGGGGGCUUACGUUUUCACACAAACUUUGUAUGCAGUGUAGAAUGUAUUUUUUGUUUUUGCGAUCACGCAAUCAAUACAACUUUCAACAACGGAUCUCUUGGCUCUCGCAUCGAUGAAGAACGCAGCGAAAUGCGAUACGUAAUGUGAAUUGCAGAAUUCAGUGAAUCAUCGAAUCUUUGAACGCACCUUGCGCCCCUUGGCAUUCCGAGGGGCACACCCGUUUGAGUGUCGUGAAAUUCUCAAAAACCUUUUUCUUUUUGGGAAAGGGUUUUUGGACUUGGAGGCUUUUUGCUGGCUUCACCUUGAAGUGAGCUCCUCCUAAAUGAAUCAGUGGGGUCCGCUUUGCCGAUCCUUGACGUGGUAAGAUGUUUCUGCGUCUUUGGGUUUGGCACUGUCACCUGCUUCUAACUGUCUCAUUGACAAUGAUGGUGCUCCGGUCACCACCGCUCUUAUCGGUGGGAGGCUUGACCCACAAAAACAAAACCUUGACCUCAAAUCGGGUGAGACUACCCGCUGAACUUAAGCAUAUCAAUAAGCGGAGGAAAAGAAACUAACAAGGAUUCCCCUAGUAACUGCGAGUGAAGCGGGAAAAGCUCAAAUUUAAAAUCUGGUGGCCUUUGGCCAUCCGAGUUGUAAUCUAGAGAA
This 816-nucleotide unclassified non-coding RNA is filed under the name uncultured Russula. RNAcentral describes it as "sequence contains ITS1, 5.8S rRNA gene and ITS2". The stretch from base 249 to 402 matches the Rfam family "5.8S ribosomal RNA". Lineage: Eukaryota; Fungi; Basidiomycota; Agaricomycetes; Russulales; Russulaceae. The record is from RNAcentral.